UACGUAGGGUGCAAGCGUUAAUCGGAAUUACUGGGCGUAAAGCGUGCGCAGACGGUUGUGUAAGUCUGUCGUGAAAUCCCCGGGCUCAACCUGGGAAUUGCGAUGGAGACUGCACGGCUAGAGUGUGUCAGAGGGGGGUAGAAUUCCACGUGUAGCAGUGAAAUGCGUAGAUAUGUGGAGGAACACCGAUGGCGAAGGCAGCCCCCUGGGAUAACACUGACGCUCAUGCACGAAAGCGUGGGGAGCAAACAGG
Molecule: ribosomal RNA, 253 nt
Filed under: uncultured bacterium
Lineage: Bacteria
Description: partial 16S ribosomal RNA
Rfam family: Bacterial small subunit ribosomal RNA
Source: RNAcentral